RNAcentral lists this long non-coding RNA (2118 nucleotides) under Homo sapiens (human). Its description in RNAcentral is "HSALNT0284573". The record is from RNAcentral. Lineage: Eukaryota; Metazoa; Chordata; Mammalia; Primates; Hominidae.
UUUUGAACUCCCGACCUCAGGUGAUCUGCCUGCCUCGGCCUCCCAAAGUGCUGGGAUUACAGGCAUGAGCCACUGCGCCUAACUUCUUUUAUUUUGUGGGUUUUCUUUGCCUAUUAUUUCAAAGCUGGCACUCUUCUCCUACUUCUGAUUUUAAGCCACAUUACGGGACGAGUUCCAAUGCACCUUUUGCUCCCCUUAUGCUUCUAUUUUCUGUCGUCAUAGCUUUUACAUAUGGAUUAUGUACAUUGAACCUCCAGGAUAAAGUAUCUAGGGUUCAGACACUAUAAACUAGAGGGCCAAGGGACUUAUGGAGGCCACAUCCAAGAAGGUAUUUCUGGAGGGAUGGAAAUGGAAAUAGGGAAAUGUGGUGGUAAAAAGUAAAAUGAGAAUAGAAUUAUUAUUAGGGGAAAGCUUGAGUUUGGGUUUGGACAAAGAAACUGUCAAAAAACAAAAUCUAGGGGAAAGCUUAGGCUCCAGAUGAACACCAGAAUUAACUGCACUGGUAUUUGCUGGUAUUUGAUCCUGGGCAAGAUACUCAUGAGGGUCUGAUGCAUACAAGUUAACAUAUAUCUGAAGGAUAACAAGGAAAAGUGUCACCACUAUAAUUAAUUCCUGUAACAUUGGAUCCUGAAAGAAUUAGUGGUCUGAACCAUAUAAAGAUAGGCUUAUCCAAAGGAGGAGAGGGAGAAAAAAUCCAAACUAAUUACAGUGAUAUUGGAUUCUGAAUAAGUUAGUCUUAGGGUGUAAUCCAAAUACAGGAACACUUCUCUGAAGGAGAAGAGGAAAAAAUUCACCCCAAAUUUAUAUUCAAAUAACACAAACUAGUUAUUUGUGUUGUCUAGUUUUUUGUUUUUUUUUUUUUAAGACAUAGUCUCUCUCUGUCACCCAGGCUGGAGUGUAGUGACGUGAUCUCGGCUCACUGCAACCUCCACCUCCCAGGUUGAAGCAAUUCUCCCUGCCUCAGCCUCCUGAGUAGUUGGGAUUACAGGCAUGCGCCACCACCCCCAGCUAAUUUUUGUAUUUUUAGUAGAGACGUGGUUUCACCACAUUGGCCAGGCUGGUCUCGAACUCCAGACCUCAGGUGAUCACCUACCUCGGCCUCCCAAAGUGCUGGAAUUACAAGCAUGAGCCACCCUGCCUGGCCGUCUAAUCUUUAUAAGAUUUACCUGAAGCAGGAGGAAGGCAAACGCACAAGCAAAAUUAAUUCUAGCGAUAUUGGAUGCUGGACAAAUUAGUCAUGAGGUCUGAUCAACAUAACCAAAUGCUUAUCUGAGGGAGGAGGCAAAAAGUGCUACCACCAAAUUAAUUCCAGAGAUAUUAAAUUCCUGAUGAGUUAGUUACGUGAUCUGGUCCAUAAAAGUGAUCACGUCUCUCCGAAGGAGGGAGAAAGUCACCCCUAACAUUAAAUCCAAAGAUGUUUGUUUCUAGACUAGGUAUGUGUGUUGUCUGAUCCAUGUAAGUAAGUGCAUCUUUGAAGGAGUACAGAGAAAAGACCACAUGUUUAUUGAAAAGACUAUGUGGAUAUCACUGGCACUGGGUUUUGUCCCAAAGUGCAAUUUUGGUGAAGAAAAAUGAGUAAGAGUGUGAGAGAGUCUCCUAGUAUGAGGAAAAUACCAGGGUAGAAUAGAAGCGAGCUAUCAUAGAAACAAGUGGUACAGCUCUUGUCACAGAGCGGGAAGGACACUACAGAACGGUGGCUGACAAAGCAGUUACUCUGGGUCAGAGUGGAAAAGAAAGUAGGCAACUACAGUGGGCAGGAAACUGAAAAUAUAGUGGUUAGCAAACAAGAAAUCGGUCAGUAGGUACCAAGGUUCAACUACAAUAGAAAGCAAAUCCCCUGUCUUAGUGGAAAGGAAAGUGGACAACUGUACAGCCAGGGAAGCACCCAGAAAUUUCACUGUGGAAAGGAAUGAGGGCAGCUAGGAAAGGGCAGGGAAUUCCAGGUAGUCAGAAAUCAUUGAACAGGUAUUGAAGUGGAUUGAAAUGCGUGUAGUAAAUGGCCAACCAAUCAGAAUCUGCAAGGUCAGUGUAUUAGUCAGUUCUCACGUUGCUAUAAAGAACUUCCCGGCCAGGUGCGGUGGCUCACGCCUGUAAUCCUAGCAUUUUGGCAGGCCGAGG